UACCAGCACCCCGAGUGGUCGGUACGAUUAUUGGGCCCAAAGCAUCCGUAGCCGGUCAUGCAAGUCCUCCGUUAAAUCCACCUGCUUAACAGAUGGGCUGCGGAGGAUACUACAAGGCUAGGAGGCGGAAGAGGCAAGCGGUACUCAGUGGGUAGGGGUAAAAUCCUCUGAUCCAUUGAAGACCACCAGUGGCGAAGGCGGCUUGCCAAUACGCGCUCGACGGUGAGGGAUGAAAGCUGGGGGAGCAAACCGG
This 253-nucleotide ribosomal RNA is filed under the name uncultured bacterium. RNAcentral describes it as "partial 16S ribosomal RNA". It matches the Rfam family "Archaeal small subunit ribosomal RNA", at positions 474 to 727 of the family's 1478-position model. The record is from RNAcentral.